Impatiens glandulifera is the source of this 888-nucleotide long non-coding RNA. RefSeq lists it as uncharacterized. The record is from RefSeq and is a predicted model, not a curated record. Lineage: Eukaryota; Viridiplantae; Streptophyta; Magnoliopsida; Ericales; Balsaminaceae. The transcript has 2 exons.
UAAAUAUAUUAUUAAUAUUUUUCUUGGUUAAAAGUGAGUUUUUAGCCUAAGAAAACCCUCUUCAUGAAAAAAAGAGACCUUGGAAACCCUAGAGACACCGAUUAGCCGAAGAAGGUGAGGUUCCAUCUUCCCAAAGCUAUGGCUUCUACUCUCAUCAGGCAGAUUCUCAGAAAGCAAUCUUCCACAACCAUCAUCUCUUUGUUCAAUAAACCCUACUAUUCUAAUCCCAAUCUUGCUCUACCACUGUCCAAUUACCUUUCAAACGACCCAUGUUUCCUGGACAACAAAUCUUACCUCCCGCAGAACACCAUUCUUUCUCUAGCAUCAUUAGAUCCCUCUAACGCAAAUGAUCAUCGACCUUCUCCUCCUACAAUCCCAAUAUUCCCAAUGCUUCCUUUCGCCUUCUGUCUACACUCAAUUCCUCCAUCCGUGUCUGGAGUCGUGCUUUCGGAAUCCGAAGGUGUUUCUGGGGACGAGACGAAGAUAUGGGCUGAUAGCGUCAAAAAGAAGAGGAAGAGAAAGAUGAACAAGCACAAAUACAGAAAGCUGAGAAAACGUCUCAGCAGACAGACCUAAUGCCAUCAAUAUUUGCAACAGGACAGGAGGAAAGGGUGGUGGUGGUUAGCUGAAGUUAUGAUCAGUCACAGGUGGAAACUAUCCUUUUUUGGGCUAUCUUUACCUUCCAUGUUUUUUCUUCAGUACAUUUGCAGUUCUUGAAUAGUUUAAAUAAGCAAAGCAUGGAUACACUGCAUUGGGGCUUACUUUUUAGAAACUACAAUAUUGGAGUCUUUUGGUAAGGAUUUUUUUUUGUUUCUUUUAAAGAUUUUGUGAUUAGUGGAUGACAACACUCUUUUAUAUUAACGGCUCGAUUAAGGAAUGAUUAUUGUU